UACGAAGGGGGCGAGCGUUGUUCGGAAUCACUGGGCGUAAAGCGUGCGUAGGCUGUCUAGCAAGUUGGAUGUGAAAUCCCGAGGCUUAACCUCGGAAUUGCUUUCAAAACUGCUAGACUCGAAUUCGGGAGAGGAUAGCGGAAUUCCCAGUGUAGUAGUGAAAUACGUAGAUAUUGGGAGGAACACCAGUGGCGCAAGCGGCUAUCUGGACCGACAUUGACGCUGAGGCACGAAAGCGUGGGGAUCAAACAGG
This 253-nucleotide ribosomal RNA is filed under the name uncultured bacterium. RNAcentral's name for it is "partial 16S ribosomal RNA". It matches the Rfam family "Bacterial small subunit ribosomal RNA", at positions 524 to 776 of the family's 1533-position model. The record is from RNAcentral.